RNAcentral lists this ribosomal RNA (432 nucleotides) under uncultured bacterium. Its description in RNAcentral is "partial 16S ribosomal RNA". It matches the Rfam family "Bacterial small subunit ribosomal RNA", at positions 29 to 507 of the family's 1533-position model. The record is from RNAcentral.
AACGAACGCUGGCGGCAUGCCUAACACAUGCAAGUCGAACGAGACCUUCGGGUCUAGUGGCGCACGGGUGCGUAACGCGUGGGAACCUGCCCUUAGGUUCGGAAUAACUCCCCGAAAGGGGUGCUAAUACCGGAUAAUGUCUUCGGACCAAAGAUUUAUCGCCUUUGGAUGGGCCCGCGUUGGAUAGCUAGUUGGUAGGGUAAAAGCCUACCAAGGCGACGAUCCAUAGCUGGUCUGAGAGGAUGAUCAGCCACCCUGGGACUGAGACACGGCCCAGACUCCUACGGGAGGCAGCAGUGGGGAAUAUUGGACAAUGGGCGAAAGCCUGAUCCAGCAAUGCCGCGUGAGUGAUGAAGGCCUUAGGGUUGUAAAGCUCUUUUACCCGGGAUGAUAAUGACAGUACCGGGAGAAUAAGCUCCGGCUAACUCCGUG